Long non-coding RNA from Pieris napi, 162 nucleotides. RefSeq lists it as uncharacterized. NCBI's taxonomy places the organism in Eukaryota, Metazoa, Arthropoda, Insecta, Lepidoptera, Pieridae. The transcript has 2 exons. The record is from RefSeq and is a predicted model, not a curated record.
AGCAAACAUUUCCCGGACGAAUAUAAAAGAAAAAGACGAAUAAAUACAGUUUUAGUUAAAGGAGCCAUUCCAACUUUAUUUGUACCAGGACAUAUAAAAGAGAGAAUCCCGUCAUCGUAUAUCAAUCGGGACAUAGCUCUACCUUCGAUAUCACAAGCUCCA